AACGGUCUAUACCUGCGGUACCUGCGGAGGGAUCAUUACCGAGUUAGGGUUCCUCUCACGGGCCCGACCUCCCAACCCUGUGUCUAUCACACCUUGUCGUUGCUUCGGCGGACCGGUUUGACUCCGGUCGCGACCGCCGGGGGUGCUUCACCCCGGGAGAGCGUCCGCCGAUGGCCCAACCACAAAACUUCUUUGUACCAAAACCGGUCGUCUAAAUCAAACUUGAUCAUAAUCAAAAAA
This 240-nucleotide unclassified non-coding RNA is filed under the name soil metagenome. Its description in RNAcentral is "partial contains 5.8S ribosomal RNA, internal transcribed spacer 2, and large subunit ribosomal RNA". The record is from RNAcentral.